AACCGCGUCGGGAACAGACGCCGAGAGA
RNAcentral lists this non-coding RNA (28 nucleotides) under Cricetulus griseus (Chinese hamster). The record is from RNAcentral. Lineage: Eukaryota; Metazoa; Chordata; Mammalia; Rodentia; Cricetidae.